UCGGAGUGGGUGGGGCAAAUCCCCCAAAGUGGGCGGGGCCAGCCCAAAAGUGGGCGUGGCCUCAUUGUUAGCCCCUCCCCUUUCCCCCAGGAGCGAUGACGUCAUCCCCGCCCCACGGGAGCCCCGCCCCCUUUCCCAAAUAAAGGCAUUGAUUGGUCGCACUCCUGAAUAUGGAAAUGACGGAGCUUUUAUUGGGGAGGGGCGUGGCCGGGUGGGCGUGGCCAAUGGGCGUGGUCUGGAUGGUGUGGUCAUUGUGGGCGUGGUCAGGGUGGCUGUGGGCGUGGCCAUGAUGGGUGUGGCCACUAUGGGUGUGGUCAGUCUGUGUGUACUAAUUGUGGGCGUGGCCAUGAUGGGUGUGGGCCACUAUGGGUGUGGUCAUUGUGGGCGUGGCUUGGGGUGUGGGAGUGGUCAGUGUGGGUGUGGUCAAUGUGGGCGUGGUCUGGUUGGGUGUGGGCAACAUGGGUGGUCAAUGGGUGUGGUCAUUGUGGUGGGUGUGGCCAAGGUGGGAGUGGCCAUUGUCAGUGUGGUCGUGGCCAAUGGGCGUGGCCUGGGUGGGUGUGGUCAUUGUGGGCAUGGUCUGGGU
This 583-nucleotide long non-coding RNA is filed under the name Lonchura striata (white-rumped munia). RNAcentral's name for it is "domestica (Bengalese finch) lncRNA (ENSLSDG00000002709.1)". The record is from RNAcentral. Lineage: Eukaryota; Metazoa; Chordata; Aves; Passeriformes; Estrildidae.